AAAAAGAGAAAAUUAAGGUAUUGUUUGGUUCGAGUAUGAGUAAGAACUGUCUAUUUCAGGAAUAGGUAUAAAUUCAGGUAUAAGCAAGAAUUAGAUCAAUUUUGCGUUUGGAUGAAAAUUAAGUUGUUAUCGGAAAUAAAAAAAAAUAGCGUUUUGAUAGAGAAGAUAAAAUAAGAAGGAUAAUGGGUACUUAUAAAUAAAAAAUAGUGAUAUUACCCUUUGAUUAUAUUUGAAUUUGAAUUUGAAUUUUUAAAUUUUCUAUUUAUAUUUUUAAAAUUU
RNAcentral lists this long non-coding RNA (279 nucleotides) under Ananas comosus (pineapple). Its description in RNAcentral is "long non-coding RNA (ACOM_LNC018251)". Lineage: Eukaryota; Viridiplantae; Streptophyta; Magnoliopsida; Poales; Bromeliaceae. The record is from RNAcentral.